RNAcentral lists this ribosomal RNA (701 nucleotides) under Streptomyces sp. RNAcentral describes it as "bacterial SSU rRNA". It matches the Rfam family "Bacterial small subunit ribosomal RNA", at positions 88 to 803 of the family's 1533-position model. Lineage: Bacteria; Bacillati; Actinomycetota; Actinomycetes; Kitasatosporales; Streptomycetaceae. The record is from RNAcentral.
UGGAUUAGUGGCGAACGGGUGAGUAACACGUGGGCAAUCUGCCCUUCACUCUGGGACAAGCCCUGGAAACGGGGUCUAAUACCGGAUACGACCUGGGAAGGCAUCUUCUCGGGUGGAAAGCUCCGGCGGUGAAGGAUGAGCCCGCGGCCUAUCAGCUUGUUGGUGAGGUAACGGCUCACCAAGGCGACGACGGGUAGCCGGCCUGAGAGGGCGACCGGCCACACUGGGACUGAGACACGGCCCAGACUCCUACGGGAGGCAGCAGUGGGGAAUAUUGCACAAUGGGCGAAAGCCUGAUGCAGCGACGCCGCGUGAGGGAUGACGGCCUUCGGGUUGUAAACCUCUUUCAGCAGGGAAGAAGCGAAAGUGACGGUACCUGCAGAAGAAGCGCCGGCUAACUACGUGCCAGCAGCCGCGGUAAUACGUAGGGCGCAAGCGUUGUCCGGAAUUAUUGGGCGUAAAGAGCUCGUAGGCGGCUUGUCACGUCGGGUGUGAAAGCCCGGGGCUUAACCCCGGGUCUGCAUCCGAUACGGGCAGGCUAGAGUGUGGUAGGGGAGAUCGGAAUUCCUGGUGUAGCGGUGAAAUGCGCAGAUAUCAGGAGGAACACCGGUGGCGAAGGCGGAUCUCUGGGCCAUUACUGACGCUGAGGAGCGAAAGCGUGGGGAGCGAACAGGAUUAGAUACCCUGGUAGUCCACGCCGU